CAAUAGCGUAUAUUAAAGUUGUUGCAGUUAAAAAGCUCGUAGUUGAAUUUCUGUCAGGAGUGACCGGGCCUUUGGAUGAACUUCCAUUGUUUUUUGCUCUGUUUGUCAUCUCUAGACAUCCUGAAAUAUUUUUUAAAAAUAUUUCUCUUUUACUGUUAGCAAAAUAGAGUGUUCCAAGCAAAGCGUAGUUUUGAAUACAUUAGAAUGGAAUAAUAAGAUAGGACUUUGGUGCUAUUUUGUUGGUUUGCACACCAAGGUAAUGAUUAAUAGGGACAGUUGGGGGUAUUCGUAUUUAAUUGUCAGAGGUGAAAUUCUUGGAUUUAUGAAAGACGAACUACUGCGAAAGCAUUUACCAAGGAUGUUUUCAUUAA
RNAcentral lists this ribosomal RNA (371 nucleotides) under uncultured eukaryote. Its description in RNAcentral is "partial 18S ribosomal RNA". It matches the Rfam family "Eukaryotic small subunit ribosomal RNA", at positions 592 to 976 of the family's 1831-position model. The record is from RNAcentral.